UGGGGAAUAUUGCACAAUGGGCGAAAGCCUGAUGCAGCAACGCCGCGUGAGUGAUGAAGGCCUUCGGGUUGUAAAGCUCUGUCUUUUGGGACGAUAAUGACGGUACCAAAGGAGGAAGCCACGGCUAACUACGUGCCAGCAGCCGCGGUAAUACGUAGGUGGCAAGCGUUGUCCGGAUUUACUGGGCGUAAAGGAUGCGUAGGCGGAUUUUUAAGUGAGAUGUGAAAUACCCGGGCUUAACUUGGGUGCUGCAUUUCAAACUGGGAAUCUAGAGUGCGGGAGAGGAGAAUGGAAUUCCUAGUGUAGCGGUGAAAUGCGUAGAGAUUAGGAAGAACACCAGUGGCGAAGGCGAUUCUCUGGACCGUAACUGACGCUGAGGCAUGAAAGCGUGGGUAGCAAACAGGAUUAGAUACCCUGGUAGUCCACGCCGUAAACGAUGAGUACUAGGUGUAGGAGGUAUCGACCCCUUCUGUGCCGCAGUUAACACAAUCAAGUACUCCGCCUGGGAAGUACGAUCGCAAGAUUAAAACUUAAAGGAAUUGACGGGGUCAUAGCUGUUUUCCU
RNAcentral lists this ribosomal RNA (564 nucleotides) under uncultured bacterium. RNAcentral's name for it is "partial 16S ribosomal RNA". It matches the Rfam family "Bacterial small subunit ribosomal RNA", at positions 355 to 1375 of the family's 1533-position model. The record is from RNAcentral.